Molecule: ribosomal RNA, 253 nt
Filed under: uncultured bacterium
Lineage: Bacteria
Description: partial 16S ribosomal RNA
Rfam family: Bacterial small subunit ribosomal RNA
Source: RNAcentral
UACGGGGGGGGCAAGCGUUGUUCGGAAUUACUGGGCGUAAAGGGCGCGUAGGCGGUUUGUUAAGUUGGAUGUGAAAACUCUGGGCUUAACCCAGAGCCUGCAUCCAAAACUAGCAAGCUAGAGUUCUGGAGGGGAUAGCGGAAUUCCUGGUGUAGCGGUGAAAUGCGUAGAUAUCAGGAGGAACACCGGUGGCGAAGGCGGUUAUCUGGACAGAAACUGACGCUGAGGCGCGAAAGCUAGGGGAGCAAACAGG